RNAcentral lists this unclassified non-coding RNA (253 nucleotides) under uncultured Bacteroidota bacterium. RNAcentral describes it as "uncultured Bacteroidetes bacterium contains 16S-23S intergenic spacer region". It matches the Rfam family "Bacterial small subunit ribosomal RNA", at positions 524 to 776 of the family's 1533-position model. The record is from RNAcentral. Lineage: Bacteria; Pseudomonadati; Bacteroidota.
UACGGAGGGUCCAAGCGUUGUCCGGAUUCAUUGGGUGUAAAGGGUGCGCAGGUGGGCCUGUAAGUCAGAGGUGAAAUCCCGCAGCUUAACUGUGGAACUGCCUUUGAUACUGCAGGUCUUGAGUCCUGGAGAGGUUGUCGGAAUUCGUGGUGUAGCGGUGAAAUGCGUAGAUAUCACGAGGAACGCCGGAGGUGUAGACGGACAACUGGACAGGUACUGACACUGAGGCACGAAAGCGUGGGGAGCAAACAGG